AGCUUUGCGCAGUGGCAGUAUCGUAGCCAAUGAGGUUUAUCCGAGGCGCGAUUAUUGCUAAUUGAAAGGUAUAAUCAGAGAACAAAGAUAAGCUACUAGAAAUUUAAAAUAUGGCUUUGAAAAACAAUUCA
This 131-nucleotide small nuclear RNA is filed under the name Canis lupus familiaris (dog). RNAcentral's name for it is "U4 spliceosomal RNA (multiple genes)". It matches the Rfam family "U4 spliceosomal RNA". From Rfam's summary of the family: U4 small nuclear RNA (U4 snRNA) is a component of the major U2-dependent spliceosome. The structure of U4 snRNA from yeast and human has been reported. The record is from Rfam by way of RNAcentral. Lineage: Eukaryota; Metazoa; Chordata; Mammalia; Carnivora; Canidae. RNAcentral also lists the same sequence under 1 other name.